Molecule: small RNA, 1026 nt
Filed under: Pan troglodytes (chimpanzee)
Lineage: Eukaryota; Metazoa; Chordata; Mammalia; Primates; Hominidae
Description: retained intron
Source: RNAcentral
AUGACUGACUCCCCAGGGACAUGAGGUGGAUACUGUUCAUUGGGGCCCUUAUUGGGUCCAGCAUCUGUGGCCAAGAAAAAUUUUUUGGGGACCAAGUUUUUAGGAUUAAUGUCAGAAAUGGAGACGAGAUCAGCAAAUUGAGUCAACUAGUGAAUUCAAACAACUUGAAGCUCAAUUUCUGGAAAUCUCCCUCCUCCUUCAAUCGGCCUGUGGAUGUCCUGGUCCCAUCUGUCAGUCUGCAGGCAUUUAAAUCCUUCCUGAGAUCCCAGGGCUUAGAGUACGCAGUGACAAUUAAGGACCUGCAGUAAAAUGGUGAUAGUGAGACCUUCUUCAUGUGAUUUGUUGAGAAGACUCAGGAUUAAAUGCCCUUUUAGACAAUGAAGAUGAUGAAAUGCAACACAAUGAAGGGCAAGAACGGAGCAGUAAUAACUUCAACUAUGGGGCUUACCAUUCCCUGGAAGCUAUUUACCACGAGAUGGACAACAUUGCCGCAGACUUUCCUGAUCUGGCGAGGAGGGUGAAGAUUGGACAUUCGUUUGAAAACCGGCCGAUGUAUGUACUGAAGUUCAGCACUGGGAAAGGCGCGCGGCGGCCGGCCGUUUGGCUGAAUGCAGGCAUCCAUUCCCGAGAGUGGAUCUCCCAGGCCACUGCAAUCUGGACGGCAAGGAAGGUCAUGCCGCGUGGUAUUAGCCAGGAAUGCUGAUGGUGCCGGGGUGCCCCUGCAGCAUGCCAUGUGGCUGGGCCUGGGGCACGAGGUGGGAGGGUUCUCUACUAAGACCCAGUCGGCUGGGGGGCCUUUUCAGAUUGGAGAAGCAAAUGGUCAAAACCCCUUGGUCAGCUCACUGCGGCCAAAUUGAUUGCGUUCCUGGUGGUGCACAAGCUGAUAUGCAGCAGAGGUGGGCCUGAGCCUCUGAGAGCAGUCCACUCCGCAGAAAGGGAGCAGAGCAACACCCAGACGAGGCCCCAUAGACCCUCGGGGACCUCACGCCAUCUCCAUCUCCUAGAAAGGCUGCUGGGAGGGCAGCA